UGGGUUCAAGUUGAAGAUUGAAGUCUUGAAAUGGUACUAGAGAACCCAUUUUUAUGGGAUUUUGCGGGUGGAGAUGGCGGAGGGACGGGGAGGUUUAGGACAUGAAAGGAAGAAAGAGAAUUAGGAAUUUUACAGAGAUGGUGAAAGAGAUUUUUAGUAAUGAAAAUGGAGGAAAAGGGAGUGGGCUGUGUGUGUGUGUGUUAGACAAUAAAAAGGCGG
This 219-nucleotide long non-coding RNA is filed under the name Capsicum annuum. RNAcentral's name for it is "long non-coding RNA (CANN_LNC007885)". Lineage: Eukaryota; Viridiplantae; Streptophyta; Magnoliopsida; Solanales; Solanaceae. The record is from RNAcentral.